AUCUCAAUGUGAAGAGCUGAAAGCAAAACGGACGCCAUUUCUUUCUCCCUAUUCUUCCUAUCCAUAGCCAGGGUGAUGAGUUUUUUCAGGAAAAUUGGGUUAAACUCAGGCAUGCCAAGAUCUUCAAGACUUCGGACUAGUUCAGGAAUGUCAUCUGAGAGAAAAUACUCAUGAAUUAUUGUCACAACCUCCUCCUUAUAUCUUCUCAACUUUUUGUCUUCAGCUGGUCCCUGCCCAUCUUUACUAGAGGUCUUCAAGAAGGAAGCAUCUAGCCAUCCCUCAGCAAUAGCCUUGGGAACAAGGAAUUGGAACAAGCUUUUUGCAGAUGGAAUGUCAAGAGCAAGG
Molecule: unclassified non-coding RNA, 345 nt
Filed under: Hevea brasiliensis (rubber tree)
Lineage: Eukaryota; Viridiplantae; Streptophyta; Magnoliopsida; Malpighiales; Euphorbiaceae
Source: RNAcentral